Small nucleolar RNA from Hyaena hyaena (striped hyena), 132 nucleotides. RefSeq annotates it as small nucleolar RNA SNORA72. NCBI's taxonomy places the organism in Eukaryota, Metazoa, Chordata, Mammalia, Carnivora, Hyaenidae. The record is from RefSeq and is a predicted model, not a curated record. The transcript has a single exon.
CCACAAAUAUUCUCGCUCUUCUGAUUCUGUAAUAAUAAGGGCAGGCUGAACAUUCGCUAUAUAAGACCGUGCACAUGUCCUCAGAUCUACUUCUUUCCCUAGGACUGGUUUUAUCAAGUCUGAUUUAUAUAA